Molecule: ribosomal RNA, 1381 nt
Filed under: Streptomyces sp. KhCrAH33
Lineage: Bacteria; Bacillati; Actinomycetota; Actinomycetes; Kitasatosporales; Streptomycetaceae
Description: bacterial SSU rRNA
Rfam family: Bacterial small subunit ribosomal RNA
Source: RNAcentral
UCGAACGAUGAAGCCCUUUCGGGGUGGAUUAGUGGCGAACGGGUGAGUAACACGUUGGGCAAUCUGCCCUUCACUCUGGGACAAGCCCUGGAAACGGGGUCUAAUACCGGAUAAUACUUUCCUCCUCCUGGAGGAAGGUUGAAAGCUCCGGCGGUGAAGGAUGAGCCCGCGGCCUAUCAGCUAGUUGGUGGGGUAAUGGCCUACCAAGGCGACGACGGGUAGCCGGCCUGAGAGGGCGACCGGCCACACUGGGACUGAGACACGGCCCAGACUNAUACGGGAGGCAGCAGUGGGGAAUAUUGCACAAUGGGCGAAAGCCUGAUGCAGCGACGCCGCGUGAGGGAUGACGGCCUUCGGGUUGUAAACCUCUUUCAGCAGGGAAGAAGCGAAAGUGACGGUACCUGCAGAAGAAGCGCCGGCUAACUACGUGCCAGCAGCCGCGGUAAUACGUAGGGCGCAAGCGUUGUCCGGAAUUAUUGGGCGUAAAGAGCUCGUAGGCGGCUUGUCACGUCGGUUGUGAAAGCCCGGGGCUUAACCCCGGGUCUGCAGUCGAUACGGGCAGGCUAGAGUGUGGUAGGGGAGAUCGGAAUUCCUGGUGUAGCGGUGAAAUGCGCAGAUAUCAGGAGGAACACCGGUGGCGAAGGCGGAUCUCUGGGCCAUUACUGACGCUGAGGAGCGAAAGCGUGGGGAGCGAACAGGAUUAGAUACCCUGGUAGUCCACGCCGUAAACGUUGGGAACUAGGUGUUGGCGACAUUCCACGUCGUCGGUGCCGCAGCUAACGCAUUAAGUUCCCCGCCUGGGGAGUACGGCCGCAAGGCUAAAACUCAAAGGAAUUGACGGGGGCCCGCACAAGCAGCGGAGCAUGUGGCUUAAUUCGACGCAACGCGAAGAACCUUACCAAGGCUUGACAUACACCGGAAAGCAUCAGAGAUGGUGCCCCCCUUGUGGUCGGUGUACAGGUGGUGCAUGGCUGUCGUCAGCUCGUGUCGUGAGAUGUUGGGUUAAGUCCCGCAACGAGCGCAACCCUUGUUCUGUGUUGCCAGCAUGCCCUUCGGGGUGAUGGGGACUCACAGGAGACUGCCGGGGUCAACUCGGAGGAAGGUGGGGACGACGUCAAGUCAUCAUGCCCCUUAUGUCUUGGGCUGCACACGUGCUACAAUGGCNGGUACAAUGAGCUGCGAUGCCGCGAGGCGGAGCGAAUCUCAAAAAGCCGGUCUCAGUUCGGAUUGGGGUCUGCAACUCGACCCCAUGAAGUCGGAGUUGCUAGUAAUCGCAGAUCAGCAUUGCUGCGGUGAAUACGUUCCCGGGCCUUGUACACACCGCCCGUCACGUCACGAAAGUCGGUAACACCCGAAGCCGGUGGCCCAACCCCUUGUGGGA